RNAcentral lists this ribosomal RNA (913 nucleotides) under uncultured marine archaeon. Its description in RNAcentral is "bacterial SSU rRNA". It matches the Rfam family "Archaeal small subunit ribosomal RNA", at positions 1 to 921 of the family's 1478-position model. The record is from RNAcentral.
UUCCGGUUGAUCCCGCCGGAGGCUACCGCUAUUGGAGUUCGAUUAAGCCAUGCGAGUCGCGAGUCUUAGGGACUCGGCGUACCGCUCAGUAACACGUGGGUAACCUGCCCUAUGCUGGGGGAUAACCUCGGGAAACUGAGAAUAAUACCCCAUAGUUCACCACGCCUGGAACGGUGGGUGGACCAAAGCUCCGGCGGCAUAGGAUGGGCCUGCGGCGUAUCAGGUUGUAGGGGGUGUAAUGUACCCUCUAGCCCUCUACGCGUACGGGUGUUGAGAGACAUCGCCCGGAGAUGGAUUCUGAGACACGAAUCCAGACCCUACGGGGUGCAGCAGGCGCGAAAACUUGGCAAUGCGAGAAAUCGUGACCAGGGAACUCCAAGUGCAUCGGGUAAGACCGAUGCUUUUCUUGACUCUUCAAAGGUCUUGGAAUAAGGGGUGGGUAAGGACGGUGCCAGCCGCCGCGGUAAUACCGGCGCCCCAAGUGGUAGUCGCUUUUAUUGGGCCUAAAACGUCCGUAGCCGGUCUGGUACAUUCGUGGGUAAAUCAACCAGCUCAACUGGUUGAAUUCUGCGAGCACGGCCAGACUUGGGACCGGGAGAGGUGUGGGGUACUCUCAGGGUAGGGGUAAAAUCCUGUCAUCCUGAGAGGACCACCUGUUGCGAAGGCGCCACACUAGAACGGAUCCGACGGUCAGGGACGAAGCCUAGGGGCACGAACCGGAUUAGAUACCCGGGUAGUCCUAGGUGUAAACGCUGUGGACUUGAUGUUGGGGGCGCUCCGAGCGCACUCAGUGUCGAAGCGAAGGUGAUAAGUCCACUGCCUGGGGAGUACGGUCGCAAGGCUGAAACUUAAGGAAUUGGCGGGGGAGCACCGCAACCUGAGGAUUGUGCGGUUUAAUUGGAUUCAACGCCGG